RNAcentral lists this ribosomal RNA (373 nucleotides) under uncultured bacterium. RNAcentral describes it as "bacterial SSU rRNA". It matches the Rfam family "Bacterial small subunit ribosomal RNA", at positions 525 to 896 of the family's 1533-position model. The record is from RNAcentral.
ACGAAGGUGGCUAGCGUUGUUCGGUGUCACUGGGCUUAAAGCGCUCGUAGGCGGAACCGUAAGUGUCUUGUGAAAUCCCCCGGCUCAACCGGGGAAUGGCUAGGCAUACUGCGGUUCUUGAGGCAAACAGGGGUGCAUGGAACUCUUGGUGGAGCGGUGGAAUGCGUAGAUAUCAAGAGGAACGCCGAUGGUGAAGACAAUGCACUGGGUUUGUCCUGACGCUGAGGAGCGAAAGCGUGGGGAGCAAACAGGAUUAGAUACCCUGGUAGUCCACGCCCUAAACGAUGUUUACUAGGUUGUAGAGGAUCUGACGCCUUUACAGUCGGAGCAAAAGUGUUAAGUAAACCGCCUGGGGAGUACGGUCGCAAGGCUA